Non-coding RNA from Caenorhabditis elegans, 123 nucleotides. NCBI's taxonomy places the organism in Eukaryota, Metazoa, Nematoda, Chromadorea, Rhabditida, Rhabditidae. The record is from Ensembl.
UAUCCAUUUCUCCUUCUGAAGUAGGUCAGUGCCAUUGGAAUGCUCUCUCCUCCCCAAUCAGAGUGUGAUUUGGGAAAAGGCGCGGUAAAAAAUAGCGGUGGAAAAUGAAGAGAUGAUAAAAAC